GUCUAAUUUAUAUUUGUGAUAUGCCUAUACUGCUGCUGGGGCUAUUGUAUGUACCUGCACAAAAUAAAUAAAAUAUAUAUGAAAAUCUUAAAGGACCACUAUAAGCACUCAGACCACUUCAGCUCAAUGAAGUGGUCUGGGUGCCAGGUCCAUCUAGGGUUAACCCUACCUGCUGUAAACAGGAAGAAAUUGCUAUGUUUACAUUAGGGUAACUCCAGUUUGUUUUCCUGGCACUAUAGUGGUCCUUUAAAUAAGUUGACUGACCCAUGUAACUUUCUCAUGCCAGGCCAAUAGAAGAUGUCACAAACAUGAGAAUUAAACUUCUUAGUCUCUUAGAGGGCUGAAGUAUGGAAAUCUUACUGGAUCCUGUUGGGUAAGGUUUAAUAUGUAUGGAAUAUAGAUUAAAUAUUAUCUGAUGAUAUUCACACACAGAGCUUUCAGGCCUCCAGGGACCCUGUAGUUCUUUGUUUCAAGUGGUGAUAUAAACACG
Pelobates cultripes (western spadefoot toad) is the source of this 490-nucleotide non-coding RNA. The record is from the annotation of a GenBank genome assembly. NCBI's taxonomy places the organism in Eukaryota, Metazoa, Chordata, Amphibia, Anura, Pelobatidae.